This 1968-nucleotide long non-coding RNA is filed under the name Homo sapiens (human). RNAcentral describes it as "HSALNT0097541". The record is from RNAcentral. Lineage: Eukaryota; Metazoa; Chordata; Mammalia; Primates; Hominidae.
CAAGAAGAAAGCGAGGGAGGGCAGGCAGCUGCAAGCUGCUACCACCUGCCCCUGCAUCCACUGCUCACCUCCCGCCAGCUCCUGCCCUCCGGAGCCCACCCCUGUGUUCUGAUGGGUGGUUUGCUGAGAGCCCAGAGUGGGCGAAUGUCUGAGGAGGGGGCUGCUCUGGGCCUGGAGGGAAGCCUAGCCCUGUGUAAGCCUCUAUGAGAGGGAUCUAGCCGACUGUUGCUUCUGCAGGGAGAUGGAGAAUGAGACAGAAGAGGAAGAGAAGCCAAGAGAGGAGUAAGAUGUGUGGGGGUGGGGGGCAAAAGACAGAGAGGCAAGGAAUAGAAGUGCAGGCUUCUAAGAGAGAGAGGGAAAGACAGACAGAUGCACAGAGAGAAAGAGAGAAAGGAGGAAAGACAGAGUCCACAGGAAGAAGAGGGAUGCAAAGAGAGAAUGGAAGGAGAGGCAGAAUGUUUUCUGAUUGGAGUCCAGCCCUGUAGAAGUAUGAGAUUUGGGGAGUGAUUGCUCUUCCUCACACGUCUGGUGCUGACAUUGACAUGGGAAGAGCAGAGAUGUUAUUAGAGGCCUGGAUGUCAGGAAGAUGACAAGGAUGACAUCAACACCACAUCAUGUCGAAGAAGAUUGGUAUGGUGGCUUUCCGGAGCUCAGCCUCAGGGAUAAGUGUCAUCUCUAAUAUAGGUCCUACCAUGCCUGGGAUGAAGCAGAUUUUGUUCUGACCUGAAAGAGAAGAGGAACAUGAACACAUAAAACAGUUCGGCGACGCACAGGUCCUCCUCCGACCAAGCCUGGGGAAAGAAAAAAAGGGAAGCAUAAUAGUAAAAACAAUAGUUAACACUUAUAUAGUUGUUUACCAUGAGCCAGGCACCGUUUUGAACACUUAACAUAUAUUAACUCCCGUUAGAGCGCAUGCAUUAUCCAAAACAAGCCCGAUUAUUAAGGCUAAUAACACGGGCGUGCGUGUAGAAAGCACUUCACUGUUUACAAGGGUUUUCACCUGCAGUGUCUGCUCUGCAAAUAGGGCCAUGAUUGAAUAUGUUAGAGAUGGCAAAGCACAGCACAUUUGAAAUUAUGUCUGUCUGAAAUACAUGCCGUGUUGCUGAGAGUUUUUAAAUGGGAUUUUACCAACUGUUUUAUGAAAUGAGAAAAGCAAAAUUUGCUACUAAGAACUCGCUAUAAUAGUGUGGUCAGUGGAACGGGGAGAUUUAAAACAUAGCUUGAGGAUCAGAUGAACCACAACUUCUCGUCUCUUCUGCCUCAUUUCAAGGCAUUCCCUCCAUCCCCUCCCCUGGCUCCUGGCAUUCUAGCCUAGCUGGGGUUGCUCAAAUGUCACAAUUUCACCUUGCUUCCCCCACAGCAAGGCUUGUGCACAUUAUGCCCCUUUGCUGAGAAUACUUUUCCCUGUCUGCUCCCUAACCCAAUACCCAUUACCACGCAGCCUCCCCCAGAUGGGUGCUAUCUUAGCUUAAACACUCCUUCCUCUGGGAGAAAAGCCCCCUCUCUACACCUCCCACCCUUAGCUAGAAAAGAUUCCUUGCACUGCCUUUAUAUGUUUUGCCAAUUUUGAAAUGAUAUCUUUAUAUGUCGAAUCGUUUGAUUAACAUCUGCCUCCCCCACUAGAGACCAUGUCUGUUCUCCUCAUUGUGUCUAUAGCACUGAGCACAGGACUUAUCAGAUGAUCAGUAAACACCUGCUGAAUGAGAAAAUAAAUUUUCCAGCUCCUACAUUCCCUGGCUAUGGGACUUGUAUAUAUGUCUCAUAAAAAUGCAAAAGUGAUACCCAGCUGUUGAGAAGAUCUUGCAAAAAUAUGUCCGCAUGUACUUAGCACAGAGCGCAGAAGAAUCAGUGCCAAGGGCAGUGUUGCCCAGUGGUUAAGGGCACCAACUCUGGAGCCAGACGGCCUGAGUGUGUAAAUUGACUCCACUAUCAAUUACAGCUGUGUAAUGUUGAUCAAGUUUGUCUCCC